CAGAUCUAGCCUCGGUCUCUUGGAAGAAAAACUGUUGGCGAAGACAGACGUGCUAUUUUUGUCCAGUCCAAGUAUAAAGAAAAAAAAAGAGGAAUAAAAACCGGGAAAAGAUCUUAACAGCUGAAUACAGCAAAAAGAAAGAAAUAUUGUGCGUUUAUAAAGUAAAAGUGUGUUAAGUGCCAAUCUCAAUUGAUUGGCGGUUAGUACCGGCUUAAACUUCGGGCAAUCGUUUGGGUACCUGUCUGAACCCCAAUACGAAAGCUCGCAACAACAAUUUCCCCGAUAUUAGGGCCUCCGCCCGCGGCAAGGGACUUAUGCUCCUCGCCCAACUACAGCUCCGUACCAAAAAUUCCCAGCGCUAGGCCGAGCAGCACAAAGCGGGAGGCGUAAAAGAUCGGCUCAUCAGUCGCUUUGCGGGCGCGAGCCACUUAUGUGUCACGGACCCGCGAUAUAUUGGAGGCCGUCCAAUUCUGCGGAAAUUAUUAAAGCUAUGUAAACGGUCAGCCAAUUUCUACCCGAAAUAUAGAUCUGGGUCUCGACCUAUUUUCGUUUCCCCAUACGAAGUGCCGAGGAGUGCCCAGAUGUGAAGCCGGCGGCAACGACUGUCGUUUUUUUUUUUAUAUCCAUCAGUGUAACCGCUGAUUCCUAUUUUUAUGCUAUAGUGUCAUUAGUGUAAUUAGCUUAGUAAAUUUCUUUUGGUUGUGUUUUUAAAUUCUGUUCGGAAGAAAUAGCAAGUGGAAUGUGUGACAGGGCGAAAGUGAACAACGGUUAAACGGCAGAGGAGAGCGUGAGUUUUUUUUGUAAAAGUAUUUCUCCAGCUUUCGUUUUAGGAACGUUGCCGCAGUCCAUGGAAGCGCUUUCAUCGCUGUUUCAACGAAUUUAUUAAAACAAAUCAAAGGAAGGCCUCAGGGGCUUCGUCGCUUAAGAGAGGCUGUGCGCUCUCCCUUAUGCCCUGCUGGCAACCAUAAGCGCUUACGCCGCGCAUAAGAACCAGCCCUCUUAAGAACAAGGCACAAAAGGGAAGAUGCGAGGCUGGUCGCUCUGACGUUCUUUUAUGCUUUCUACUUGCGGUUGCUUUCGCUAAUGCACUUGAAUUACUGACCUGCCAUAACGAUCGCGGCGCACAGUUUUUACAUUCCCUUUUGCAUAUUUAUUUAUUAUUAUUAUCUAUUUGCCUAACAUAAAAGCUGGAGAUAUGUACCCUUCCCUUCUUUCAAUUUGUAAGUUAAAUUUCAAUCUAAAGUGUAUUAUUAAGAGUUAAUCAUUUAUUAGUUUACUAGUGCGAUGCAUGUGCUAUUGCUCAAUAUGAAAUAUAGGAUUUAACAUGAA
Molecule: long non-coding RNA, 1329 nt
Organism: Drosophila miranda
Lineage: Eukaryota; Metazoa; Arthropoda; Insecta; Diptera; Drosophilidae
Exons: 3
Source: RefSeq, a predicted model, not a curated record